ACCAUCACGAAAAAAAAAACGUGCUGACCAUAAACAUUUGUGUACACGAAUCGAAUAGAUUAAAUUAUGUGACCAUUUCACAAACGGCCAUGAGACUGGGUUGUGUGGAGCUAA
Sander lucioperca (pikeperch) is the source of this 114-nucleotide long non-coding RNA. RefSeq lists it as uncharacterized. The transcript has 3 exons. The record is from RefSeq and is a predicted model, not a curated record. NCBI's taxonomy places the organism in Eukaryota, Metazoa, Chordata, Actinopteri, Perciformes, Percidae.